Molecule: ribosomal RNA, 233 nt
Filed under: Enterobacter asburiae
Lineage: Bacteria; Pseudomonadati; Pseudomonadota; Gammaproteobacteria; Enterobacterales; Enterobacteriaceae
Description: partial 16S ribosomal RNA
Rfam family: Bacterial small subunit ribosomal RNA
Source: RNAcentral
GCUAAUACCGCAUAACGUCGCAAGACCAAAGAGGGGGACCUUCGGGCCUCUUGCCAUCGGAUGUGCCCAGAUGGGAUUAGCUAGUAGGUGGGGUAACGGCUCACCUAGGCGACGAUCCCUAGCUGGUCUGAGAGGAUGACCAGCCACACUGGAACUGAGACACGGUCCAGACUCCUACGGGAGGCAGCAGUGGGGAAUAUUGCACAAUGGGCGCAAGCCUGAUGCAGCCAUGC